GACGAACGCUGGCGGCGUGCUUAACACAUGCAAGUCGAACGGAAAGGCCCUGCUUUUGUGGGGUGCUCGAGUGGCGAACGGGUGAGUAACACGUGAGUAACCUGCCCUUGACUUUGGGAUAACUUCAGGAAACUGGGGCUAAUACCGGAUAGGAGCUCCUGCUGCAUGGUGGGGGUUGGAAAGUUUCGGCGGUUGGGGAUGGACUCGCGGCUUAUCAGCUUGUUGGUGGGGUAGUGGCUUACCAAGGCUUUGACGGGUAGCCGGCCUGGGAGGGUGACCGGCCACAUUGGUACUGAGAUACGGCCCAGACUCCUACGGGAGGCAGCAGUGGGGAAUAUUGCACAAUGGGCGGAAGCCUGAUGCAGCAACGCCGCGUGCGGGAUGACGGCCUUCGGGUUGUAAACCGCUUUCGCCUGUGACGAAGCGUGAGUGACGGUAAUGGGUAAAGAAGCACCGGCUAACUACGUG
Molecule: ribosomal RNA, 468 nt
Filed under: uncultured bacterium
Lineage: Bacteria
Description: partial 16S ribosomal RNA
Rfam family: Bacterial small subunit ribosomal RNA
Source: RNAcentral